This is a long non-coding RNA of Dicentrarchus labrax (European seabass), 306 nucleotides long. RefSeq lists it as uncharacterized. The record is from RefSeq and is a predicted model, not a curated record. The transcript has 3 exons. NCBI's taxonomy places the organism in Eukaryota, Metazoa, Chordata, Actinopteri, Moronidae.
GUUAUACAGAGGUUAUAUAGAAGGUUAUACAGCUGUUAUAUAGAGGUUAUACAGCUGUUAUAUAGAGGUUAUACAGCUGUUAUAUAGAGGUUAUACAGCUGUUAUAUAGAAGGUUAUACAGAGGUUAUACAGAUGUUAUACAGAGGUUAUACAGAGGUUAUACAGAUGUUAUACAGAGGUUAUACAGAGGUUAUACAGCUGUUAUAUAGAGGUUAUACAGCUGUUAUAUAGAGGUUAUACAGCUGUUAUAUAGAGGUUAUACAGCUGUUAUAUAGAGGUUAUACAGCUGUUAUACAGAUGUUAUAC